Molecule: ribosomal RNA, 252 nt
Filed under: uncultured bacterium
Lineage: Bacteria
Description: partial 16S ribosomal RNA
Rfam family: Bacterial small subunit ribosomal RNA
Source: RNAcentral
GCAAGUCGAACGGUAACAGAAAGAGCCUGCUCUUUGCUGACGAGUGGCGCACGGGUGAGUAAUAUAUAGUUAAUUUGCCCCAAAUACUAGGAUAGCCACUGGAAACGGUGAUUAAUACUGGAUAAGCCUCUAAAACAAAAUUUUGCGAGGAAAAUGUUUUUUCGCUUUAGGAUCAGACUAUAUCCUAUCAGGUAGUUGGUGAGGUAAGAGCUCACCAAGACAAUGACGGCUAGCGGGUUUGAGAGGAUGAUC